Molecule: unclassified non-coding RNA, 337 nt
Filed under: Hevea brasiliensis (rubber tree)
Lineage: Eukaryota; Viridiplantae; Streptophyta; Magnoliopsida; Malpighiales; Euphorbiaceae
Source: RNAcentral
AACACCAGAGGAUAGGCUGCCAGUGGUGGCCAUCAUCAUUACCUUACUGUCACCGCAGAUGGCUAUCACCGGCGCGUCCGGUUCCGACUCACCAGACGUCCAAGCUCCUCUCCUAUACGACACCGUCGAGGGCUGCGUUGAUUACAAAGGCCGUCCCGUUUAUAAAUCCAAUUCAGGCGGCUGGAGAUCUGCGUCUUUUAUAAUAGGAGUGGAGGUUGCAGAGAGAUUUGCCUUCUAUGGGAUAUCGUCGAACCUUAUUACGUAUUUGACCGGGCCACUUGGUCAGUCGACGGCUACUGCGGCGGAGAACGUCAACGCCUGGUCGGGAACGGCGUCG